This 315-nucleotide ribosomal RNA is filed under the name Tetraclita achituvi. RNAcentral describes it as "partial 12S ribosomal RNA". Lineage: Eukaryota; Metazoa; Arthropoda; Thecostraca; Balanomorpha; Tetraclitidae. The record is from RNAcentral.
GAAAUUUAACGGAUUUGGCGGCAAGAUAGCCCCUUAGAGGAACCUGCCCUAUAAACGAUGAACCACGAAGAGACGUUACUUUUUUUUGAAAUCAGUUUGUAUAUCGCUGUUGUCAGUUAGAUUCCGAAGAAUAUUUUCAUUUAUGAAAAGGUCAUUGACUUCAAGUAAAGGUGCAGCUUAUAGAAAAGAAAGAGGUGGGUUACAUUUAAAAGAAUAAUACGGAUAAGAUAAAUGAAGGAAUCUUUGAAGGUGGAUUUAACUGUAAAAUUUAAUAAAAUUUGGUGAGAGCUCUAUCUUGUGUACACACCGCCCGUC